This 238-nucleotide ribosomal RNA is filed under the name uncultured bacterium. RNAcentral describes it as "partial 16S ribosomal RNA". It matches the Rfam family "Bacterial small subunit ribosomal RNA", at positions 524 to 769 of the family's 1533-position model. The record is from RNAcentral.
UACAGAGGGUGCGAGCGUUGUUCGGAAUCAUUGGGCGUAAAGCGCUUGUAGGCGGCCUGAAAGUCUCGUGUGAAUCCCUGGCUUAACCAGGGAAGUGCGCGAGAAACUUUGGGCUUGAGUGCCGGAGAGGUCGCGGAAUUCCGGUGUAGAGGUGAAAUUCGUAGAUAUCGGGAGGAACACCAGUGGCGAAGGCGGCGACCUGGACGGACACUGACGCUGAGACGCGAAGCGUGGGAGC